AAGAAGUGACUAUACCCUAUCGAUACCUUCUAAGUAUCAAUAAAGAGGUGAAACUCCUUUUACUUCUUU
Molecule: transfer RNA, 69 nt
Filed under: Ramisyllis multicaudata
Lineage: Eukaryota; Metazoa; Annelida; Polychaeta; Phyllodocida; Syllidae
Description: tRNA-Ser
Source: RNAcentral